This 161-nucleotide unclassified non-coding RNA is filed under the name uncultured Ascomycota. Its description in RNAcentral is "sequence contains ITS2". The record is from RNAcentral. Lineage: Eukaryota; Fungi; Ascomycota.
UCAACCAUCAAGCCUAGCUUGUCGUUGGACCCCUUUGCAGCUGAAAUAUGCGGCAGGUCCGAAAGAUAAUGACGGCGUCGUGUUUGACCCUAGAUGCAACGAGCUUUUCAUAGCACGCAUUGAAGUGGUCGACCGGUCUGGUCUUAAUCAUUAAUUUCUAA